This 250-nucleotide ribosomal RNA is filed under the name uncultured bacterium. RNAcentral's name for it is "partial 16S ribosomal RNA". It matches the Rfam family "Bacterial small subunit ribosomal RNA", at positions 524 to 771 of the family's 1533-position model. The record is from RNAcentral.
UACGUAGGGUGCGAGCGUUUAAUCGGAAUUACUGGGCGUAAAGCGUGCGCAGGCGGUUGUGUAAGACAGGUGUGAAAUCCCCGGGCUUAACCUGGGAACUGCGCUUGUGACUGCACGGCUAGAGUACGGCAGAGGGGGGGUGGAAUUCCACGUGUAGCAGUGAAAUGCGUAGAUAUGUGGAGGAACACCGAUGGCGAAGGCAGCCCCCUGGGCCGAUACUGACGCUCAUGCACGAAAGCGUGGGGAGCAA